This 76-nucleotide transfer RNA is filed under the name Acholeplasmataceae bacterium. RNAcentral describes it as "tRNA-Phe". It matches the Rfam family "tRNA". Rfam says of the family: Transfer RNA (tRNA) molecules are approximately 80 nucleotides in length. Lineage: Bacteria; Bacillati; Mycoplasmatota; Mollicutes; Acholeplasmatales; Acholeplasmataceae. The record is from RNAcentral. RNAcentral also lists the same sequence under 1 other name.
GGCUCGGUAGCUCAGUUGGUAGAGCAAUGGACUGAAAAUCCAUGUGUCGCCGGUUCGAUUCCGGCCUGAGCCACCA